This 243-nucleotide ribosomal RNA is filed under the name uncultured bacterium. RNAcentral describes it as "partial 16S ribosomal RNA". It matches the Rfam family "Bacterial small subunit ribosomal RNA", at positions 793 to 1030 of the family's 1533-position model. The record is from RNAcentral.
GUCCUGGCCGUAAACGAUGGGUACUAGGUACGGGGGUCCCAAUGCCUCCGUGCUGGAGAUAAUUUAUUAAGUACCCCGCCUGGGGAGUAUAGUCGCAAGGCUGAAACUCAAAGGAAUUGACGGGGGCUCACACAAGCGGUGGAGCAUGUUGUUUAAUUCGAAGCAACGCGCAGAACCUUACCUGGGCUUGACAUGCUAGUGGUACGAACCCGAAAAGGGGAGGACCCUCUCUCGAGGGAGCUA